UACAGAGGUGGCAAGCGUUGUUCGGAAUUACUGGGCGUAAAGGGCGCGUAGGCGGCCUUCUAAGUCGAACGUGAAAUCCCCGGGCUCAACCCGGGAACUGCGUCCGAGACUGGAAGGCUCGAAUCCGGGAGAGGGAUGUGGAAUUCCAGGUGUAGCGGUGAAAUGCGUAGAUAUCUGGAGGAACAUCGGUGGCGAAGGCGGCAUCCUGGACCGGUAUUGACGCUGAGGCGCGAAAGCCAGGGGAGCAAACGGG
This 253-nucleotide ribosomal RNA is filed under the name uncultured bacterium. RNAcentral's name for it is "partial 16S ribosomal RNA". It matches the Rfam family "Bacterial small subunit ribosomal RNA", at positions 524 to 776 of the family's 1533-position model. The record is from RNAcentral.